RNAcentral lists this ribosomal RNA (399 nucleotides) under uncultured bacterium. Its description in RNAcentral is "partial 16S ribosomal RNA". It matches the Rfam family "Bacterial small subunit ribosomal RNA", at positions 39 to 454 of the family's 1533-position model. The record is from RNAcentral.
GGCCGCGGGAAUUCGAUAAAGACCUAACACAUGCAAGUCGAACGCCCCGCAAGGGGAGUGGCAGACGGGUGAGUAACGCGUGGGAAUCUACCCAUCUCUACGGAAUAACUCAGGGAAACUUGUGCUAAUACCGUAUACGCCCUUCGGGGGAAAGAUUUAUCGGAGAUGGAUGAGCCCGCAUUGGAUUAGCUAGUUGGUGGGGUAAAGGCCUACCAAGGCGACGAUCCAUAGCUGGUCUGAGAGGAUGAUCAGCCACAUUGGGACUGAGACACGGCCCAAACUCCUACGGGAGGCAGCAGUGGGGAAUAUUGGAAAGGGGGCGCAAGCCUGAUCCAGCCAUGCCGCGUGAGUAAAGGAGGCCCUAGGGUUGUAAAGCUCUUUCACCGAUGAAGAUAAUGA